RNAcentral lists this transfer RNA (73 nucleotides) under Bunocephalus coracoideus (banjo catfish). Its description in RNAcentral is "tRNA-Asn". It matches the Rfam family "tRNA". Rfam says of the family: Transfer RNA (tRNA) molecules are approximately 80 nucleotides in length. Their secondary structure includes four short double-helical elements and three loops (D, anti-codon, and T loops). Lineage: Eukaryota; Metazoa; Chordata; Actinopteri; Siluriformes; Aspredinidae. The record is from RNAcentral.
UAGAUGAAUGCUCGCUGGAUUGAGCGUCUAGCUGUUAACUAGAAGUUUGUGGGAUCGAGGCCUUCUCAUCUAG